RNAcentral lists this transfer RNA (67 nucleotides) under Bathygadus antrodes. Its description in RNAcentral is "tRNA-Cys". It matches the Rfam family "tRNA". From Rfam's summary of the family: Transfer RNA (tRNA) molecules are approximately 80 nucleotides in length. Their secondary structure includes four short double-helical elements and three loops (D, anti-codon, and T loops). Further hydrogen bonds mediate the characteristic L-shaped molecular structure. tRNAs have two regions of fundamental functional importance: the anti-codon, which is responsible for specific mRNA codon recognition, and the 3' end, to which the tRNAs corresponding amino acid is attached (by aminoacyl-tRNA synthetases). tRNAs cope with the degeneracy of the genetic code in two manners: having more than one tRNA (with a specific anti-codon) for a particular amino acid; and 'wobble' base-pairing, i.e. permitting non-standard base-pairing at the 3rd anti-codon position. The record is from RNAcentral. Lineage: Eukaryota; Metazoa; Chordata; Actinopteri; Gadiformes; Macrouridae.
AAGCCUUGGAGUGUAAACAUGUCAGAUUGCAAAUCUGAAGAAGCAGAUUAAACGUCUGCCGAGGCUU